UUGUUGUUGUUCAUUUCGAAGUAAUUCGGAGCAGCGGCUGAAGAUGGGAGAGGGUUGGACGGAGAGAAAACGGAGAAAAAAAUCAAAAUGUCAAGAACAAAAGGAACUGUGUAUACUUUUGAAUACCCUAUUUUAGAAGUGCUAGUGUAUUUAUUUAUUUUUAAGAUGAUAUAUAAUUGACACCCUGGCACCGCUAGGCAGAAAUUUCGGUUUCGUUGCAACAGAGUGAGGAAGUGUUUUUAAAAUUGAAAAUUUUAGGCAAUUAUUAAUUAAUCAGUCCAAGGAUGCAGAGGAACCCUAUUCUUUCACGUUUAAAAAAUAGGAGGAGCUGGUGGCGUUAAAAUAUGCUCGACUACUACAACCGCCUAUAUUGAGACCAUCACCGCCAUUCUUCGGCGAAAUAAUUUGCCUAAGUCGAUUAAAGGAGUUUUGGCAGAGCACCUUCUUUGCGACUUCAAUAUAGACGGUUUAAAUGGAAAAAAG
Long non-coding RNA from Drosophila gunungcola (fruit fly), 483 nucleotides. RefSeq lists it as uncharacterized. The record is from RefSeq and is a predicted model, not a curated record. The transcript is spliced from 3 exons. NCBI's taxonomy places the organism in Eukaryota, Metazoa, Arthropoda, Insecta, Diptera, Drosophilidae.